This 63-nucleotide transfer RNA is filed under the name Loxodonta africana (African savanna elephant). It matches the Rfam family "tRNA". From Rfam's summary of the family: Transfer RNA (tRNA) molecules are approximately 80 nucleotides in length. Their secondary structure includes four short double-helical elements and three loops (D, anti-codon, and T loops). Further hydrogen bonds mediate the characteristic L-shaped molecular structure. tRNAs have two regions of fundamental functional importance: the anti-codon, which is responsible for specific mRNA codon recognition, and the 3' end, to which the tRNAs corresponding amino acid is attached (by aminoacyl-tRNA synthetases). tRNAs cope with the degeneracy of the genetic code in two manners: having more than one tRNA (with a specific anti-codon) for a particular amino acid; and 'wobble' base-pairing, i.e. permitting non-standard base-pairing at the 3rd anti-codon position. Lineage: Eukaryota; Metazoa; Chordata; Mammalia; Proboscidea; Elephantidae. The record is from Rfam by way of RNAcentral.
GCAAUGGUGGUAGAACUCCUGUCUUCCAUGCAGGAGAACCAAGUUCGAUUCCUGGCCAAUGUA